AGUUGAGCAGUUUAAUGUAAAACCAAAUAUCAGAAGAUUGAGAUAAAUGUGUCACACACAGUUUAUCUUCUAUAUUAAAAACAGGUGAACUUUAUCCAUCCACGGAAGUGCAGCCUUCAAUAGCACUUGAAUAAGCUAAAUCUUGUUAUGGUCCAAACUGGAAGAGAUUAAGUUGAAGUGCUGGCACAUUUACACAAACCAGCACGCAUUGGUCUCAGGUGGUUUUGUUAAGGUCCAUCCAUCCAGUGUUACAUGGCCUGGGGGUGAGUUGCAGAAACAG
RNAcentral lists this long non-coding RNA (280 nucleotides) under Chinchilla lanigera (long-tailed chinchilla). RNAcentral describes it as "lncRNA (ENSCLAG00000028606.1)". The record is from RNAcentral. Lineage: Eukaryota; Metazoa; Chordata; Mammalia; Rodentia; Chinchillidae.